GAUGAACGCUAGCUACAGGCUUAACACAUGCAAGUCGAGGGGCAGCAUGAACUUAGCUUGCUAAGUUUGAUGGCGACCGGCGCACGGGUGAGUAACACGUAUCCAACCUGCCGAUGACUCGGGGAUAGCCUUUCGAAAGAAAGAUUAAUACCCGAUGGCAUAGUUCUUCCGCAUGGUAGAACUAUUAAAGAAUUUCGGUCAUCGAUGGGGAUGCGUUCCAUUAGGUUGUUGGCGGGGUAACGGCCCACCAAGCCUUCGAUGGAUAGGGGUUCUGAGAGGAAGGUCCCCCACAUUGGAACUGAGACACGGUCCAAACUCCUACGGGAGGCAGCAGUGAGGAAUAUUGGUCAAUGGACGAGAGUCUGAACCAGCCAAGUAGCGUGAAGGAGGACUGCCCUAUGGGUGGUAAACUUCUUUUAUACGGGAAUAAAGUGAGGCACGUGUGCCUUUUUGUAUGUACCGUAUGAAUAAGGAUCGGCUAACUCCGUG
This 489-nucleotide ribosomal RNA is filed under the name uncultured bacterium. RNAcentral describes it as "partial 16S ribosomal RNA". It matches the Rfam family "Bacterial small subunit ribosomal RNA", at positions 28 to 507 of the family's 1533-position model. The record is from RNAcentral.